CCUUGAGGAAACGGGCCGAGAUGAGAGCUGUGGAAGAUUGGAACGGGGAGAGUGGACCGAAGAGGCGUCUCUUCAUUCGGUUUAUAGCAGGGCGUGGUGGCUGAGGAAUUCUAGGAGUUGAAGUCCACAAGUCAUAAAAGGGCCAACUUUGAAGACCCCUGGUUUAUAGUGUGGUAUAGGUUGUAGUAUCUCUUAUGUAGUACAUAAGGGUAGUCAUUUCGCCGUGUAGGGAAAGAUGAAAGAGGUGCUUUGGAGAAUAGCUUGACUUCCUCUUCUUUGUGCCAAUCCCUGAGAUAUUGGAACACUGCUAUCAACUUUGGAACUAUUACAAGGCCGAUGUCAACGCUGUGACAAUGGAUGUCGUUGCUCUGACAACUGAGGAUCAGCAGCCAUUUUUACUUUUACUUCUAACGUGUCUUUUCUAUUCUUUUAGAGUUCAGAUGUAGAAGGGGGUAUGGGGUAAAUGCUUGAGGGUUUAGCUAGCCAUAAUGAUGUAGAAGUGUGGGAACUCAAGGACAUGGUCUGAUAAGGAAUUGGUGGGCUGAGAAGCUGGUGAGAAAAGCCCGCAGCUUGUGUUAAUUGGGGAAUGCGAUUUAUGACAGCGUGUGUGGGGUGAAAAUUGCAACUAGUUACUUUGUAUCUAGGAGGAGGGAAUCUCAGUUUUGGGUUCAACUAUGUAAGUGCCGAUAUUUUGUUUCCUAAUAAAAUGUUCUUUAAGGAAGAA
This is a long non-coding RNA of Crotalus tigris (Tiger rattlesnake), 724 nucleotides long. RefSeq lists it as uncharacterized. NCBI's taxonomy places the organism in Eukaryota, Metazoa, Chordata, Lepidosauria, Squamata, Viperidae. The record is from RefSeq and is a predicted model, not a curated record. The transcript has 2 exons.